Molecule: ribosomal RNA, 491 nt
Filed under: uncultured bacterium
Lineage: Bacteria
Description: bacterial SSU rRNA
Rfam family: Bacterial small subunit ribosomal RNA
Source: RNAcentral
ACGGGCAGGACGAACGCUGGCGGCGUGCUUAAUGAAUGCGAGUCGAACGAGAACCAGUGGAGUGCUUGCACAAAGCUGGGGACAGUGGCGAACGGGUGAGUAACACGUGGGUAACCUGCCCUGUAGUCGGGCACAACAGUUGGAAACGACUGCUAAUUCCCGAUAGUCUGCAGCAACGAAGGUUGCUGUAGUAAAGGUUUUUCCCCUACAGGAUGGGCCCGCGGGCCAUUAGCUUGUUGGUGGGGUAACGGCCUACCAAGGCGACGAUGGCUAGCCGGUCUGAGAGGAUGAUCGGCCACACUGGGACUGAGACAUGGUCCAGACUCCUCCGGGAGUUAGCAUCAGGGAAUCUUGCGCAAUGGGCGAAAGCCUGACGCAGCGACGCCGCGUGAGGGAUGAAGGUCUGCGGAUCGUAAACCUCUGUAAGCAGGGACGAAUGCCCGGUCGGUCGGGAGAGACGGUACCUGCAAAGUAAGCCGGCUAACUACGUC